Molecule: ribosomal RNA, 496 nt
Filed under: uncultured bacterium
Lineage: Bacteria
Description: bacterial SSU rRNA
Rfam family: Bacterial small subunit ribosomal RNA
Source: RNAcentral
AGCGAACGCUGGCGGCGUGCUUAACACAUGCAAGUCGAGUGCGCGGUUCGUAGCAAUACGAACUGGCGCACGGCGCACGGGUGAGGAACACGCGGGCAACAUGCCCUCCGAUGGGGAAUAACCCGCCGAAAGGCGGGCUAAUACCGCAUACGAUUCCGGGGACCUCGGUUCCUGGACUGAAAGCCCGCAAGGGCGUCGGUGGAGUGGCCCGCGGCCGAUUAGCUUGUUGGCGGGGUAACGGCCCACCAAGGCAAUGAUCGGUAGCCGGUCUGAGAGGAUGAUCGGCCACACUGGAACUGAGACACGGUCCAGACUCCUAUGGGAGGCAGCAGUGGGGAAUCUUGCGCAAUGGGCGAAAGCCUGACGCAGCGACGCCGCGUGGGGAUGAAGGUCUUCGGAUUGUAAACCCCUUUCGGGAGGGAAGAUGGAACGAGCAAUCGUUCGGACGGUACCUCCAGAAGCAGCCACGGCUAACUUCGUGCCAGCAGCCGCAAGU